RNAcentral lists this ribosomal RNA (398 nucleotides) under uncultured bacterium. Its description in RNAcentral is "partial 16S ribosomal RNA". It matches the Rfam family "Bacterial small subunit ribosomal RNA", at positions 523 to 918 of the family's 1533-position model. The record is from RNAcentral.
AUACGUAGGGUGCGAGCGUUGUCCGGAAUUACUGGGCGUAAAGAGCUCGUAGGUGGUUUGUCGCGUCGUCUGUGAAAUUCCGGGGCUUAACUCCGGGCGUGCAGGCGAUACGGGCAUAACUUGAGUACUGUAGGGGAGACUGGAAUUCCUGGUGUAGCGCUGAAAUGCGCAGAUAUCAGGAGGAACACCGGUGGCGAAGGCGGGUCUCUGGGCAGUAACUGACGCUGAGGAGCGAAAGCAUGGGUAGCGAACAGGAUUAGAUACCCUGGUAGUCCAUGCCGUAAACGGUGGGCGCUAGGUGUAGGGGUCUUCCACGACUUCUGUGCCGUAGCUAACGCAUUAAGCGCCCCGCCUGGGGAGUACGGCCGCAAGGCUAAAACUCAAAGGAAUUGACGGGG